CGGGAUGUGGCUCAGCUUGGUAGAGCGCCUGGUUCGGGACCAGGAGGUCGCUGGUUCAAAUCCAGUCAUCCCGACCA
RNAcentral lists this transfer RNA (77 nucleotides) under Syntrophothermus lipocalidus. RNAcentral describes it as "tRNA-Pro". It matches the Rfam family "tRNA". Rfam says of the family: Transfer RNA (tRNA) molecules are approximately 80 nucleotides in length. Their secondary structure includes four short double-helical elements and three loops (D, anti-codon, and T loops). RNAcentral also lists the same sequence under 2 other names. Lineage: Bacteria; Bacillati; Bacillota; Clostridia; Eubacteriales; Syntrophomonadaceae. The record is from RNAcentral.